GGUCCAUAAUCCAUUUACCAAUUUAAAACCAACACAUUUAUUUAUAGUCGAAUUGAGGUGGUCCAUAAUCCUUAUGCCAAGAUAAGCAUUAAACUAGUCAGCUAGAAACGAGAAUCCGAAUCAUAAACCGGGGCGGGCCCCACCACCUCAACUAGCUCCGCCGUAUCGCCGCUAGGUCACACGCUCAACAACCGUUACCUUACUUCAAUUAAUAACAAACUUUUAACCAGCAGAUCUCUCACCGCAAAAUUCCGAUUCUGGCAACACCGUCGAUGGCGAUGGAAGACAACGAAAGCUGCGGCAGCAGAGCGGUGGAAUCGCCGAAAAAGAGCAAACAACGACGCCAGAAACUGGAGGUGUUUAACGACGUUCUCACUCGAUUGUACGAUAUGAAUUAUGAAGAUACUCAACAGGCUGAUUUCGAAGAUCAGCUAUGGAAUCACUUCAAUCGCCUUCCUCCUAGAUAUGCGUUGGAUGUGAACGUGGAGAGAGCGGAGGAUGUGAUCACGCAUAAAAGAGUUUUGCAGAUGGCUGAAGACCCUGUUAAUAGACCUGCAUUUGAAGUCAGAUUAGUGCAGGUUCAUCCUACCUCAGAUGGGAAUACACCUGAUGUGGACAGUGUGGAUUUGUCAAUAAAAGAAGAUGCUCAAAGUACUUCGACUUACAAUAGAAGCGGAUUGCAUCCCCCACCAUCUUUUGGUUCAGCACAAAAUCUUGAAGAGCGUGCAAGUAAAGCCACUAGACAUUCAGAUGGUUAUACCGCUGAUGAUCUGAAUACAACUUCAGUGUCUUCUAGGCCUAUGCAUGAGAUCACUUUUUCAACGAUCGACAGACCAAAACUCCUGAGUCAGUUGACUUCUUUACUUUCCGAGGCUGGAUUAAACAUUCAAGAAGCACACGCUUUCUCCACUGCUGAUGGCUUCUCAUUGGAUGUCUUUGUUGUUGACGGAUGGCCGCACGAGGAAACGGAACAGCUCAAAAAUGCAAUAGCAAAGGAGAUAAUGAAGGCUAAGGGGGAAGCUCAUAACGACAAAAAAUCUUCAUCCACUAGUUGCAAAAAUAUUCCAACAUCAAGUGAACCCAUGGUGUCAAAUGAUCAUGUAAAAAUACCUACUGAUGGAACUGAUGUAUGGGAAAUUGAUGCAAAGCUGCUGAAAUUCGAAAAUAAAGUCGCAUCUGGCACCUUUGGCGAUCUGUAUAAAGGCACAUAUUGUAGUCAAGAAGUGGCUAUUAAAGUUCUUAAACCAGAACGAAUAGAUGCAGAUAUGCUAAGAGAAUUCUCUCAGGAAGUAUUUAUUAUGAGGAAGAUAAGACAUAAGAAUGUUGUUCAAUUUAUUGGAGCAUGUACAGAACCUACAAAACUCUGCAUAGUAACUGAGUUCAUGGCACAAGGGAGCAUAUAUAACUUUCUGCACAAGCAAAAUGGUUCAUUUAAGCUUCCUUUGUUACUGAAGAUAGCAAUCGAUAUAUCCAAAGGCAUGAGUUACCUGCAUCAAAACAAUAUUAUCCACAGAGACUUGAAAACCGCCAAUCUUCUAAUGGAUGAGCACGACGUUGUGAAAGUUGCUGAUUUCGGAGUUGCAAGGGUGCAGACUGAAUCUGGAGUAAUGACGGCAGAAACCGGAACAUACAGGUGGAUGGCACCCGAGUUGUUAUGAAUUGAAGGUUAUCGAGCACAAACCGUAUGAUCAUAAAGCUGAUGUGUUCAGUUUCGCGAUAGUGCUAUGGGAGCUUCUAACAGGCGAAGUUCCCUAUUCAUACUUAACACCAUUACAAGCAGCAGUUGGUGUGGUACAACAGGGUUUACGGCCUACAAUCCCGAAGCAGACUCAUCCCAAGCUGGCAGAACUGCUCGAGUGUUGCUGGCGACAUGACCCGACACUGAGACCCAACUUCACUGAAAUUCUAGACAAAUUAAAGCAUUUAGCAAAAGAGGUUGGUAACGGAGGGGAGGGGCAGAAGGACAAAUCACUUGGCGGAUUUUUCUCGAGUUUUAAGAAGGGGCAUCACUAAAAUAGAUGCAGUACAAAUUCCAGUGAUUGUUGUUUUUUCCAAGAAAUAUUUACUUGUUCCUGAUGAUGACUUGUGUUCCUGAGUUGGAUACAUAAAUUAAAUUAGACGCAGUCUAAGACGGACCGGACUAAUUUAAGACGAGUGAUUAGUUGCAUUGGUCUUUUAGAUGCAUACAUAUUGAACGAUUUGAUCAUUUUACUCGGUUUGUUUUUAUAUGAA
This is an RNA transcript of Helianthus annuus (common sunflower), 2232 nucleotides long. It is a transcript of the gene named serine/threonine-protein kinase STY17, with no coding region annotated. NCBI's taxonomy places the organism in Eukaryota, Viridiplantae, Streptophyta, Magnoliopsida, Asterales, Asteraceae. The transcript has 16 exons. The record is from RefSeq and is a predicted model, not a curated record.